Non-coding RNA from Pelobates cultripes (western spadefoot toad), 377 nucleotides. The record is from the annotation of a GenBank genome assembly. Lineage: Eukaryota; Metazoa; Chordata; Amphibia; Anura; Pelobatidae.
CUGACCUGUUGGGGUCUGAUAUUUGGCAUUAAAUCCAGCAAAGAGAGGGGCAGUGAGGUCAGAGAGUGCGCUAAACUAAUGAAAGCUCUGUGUUCAACAAGCAAUUACGGAGACAGUUCAUUAUUUUUACAUUAUGUGGGAUCACUUUGGGUCACAUUCUCAGCUCUGCGUUUUCAAAUGUCACCUUGAAGUAAUAUGUGAAUUCUAUGGUAACACAACCUAUAAAAAGCAUCAGCUCUGGAACUCUUUAAAUCAGAGCUGAGCCUACAAAAGCAUGUUUUUCUUGAAUUCAUAAACCUGGCCAAGAAAGGAGUCCGCAUCUGUGUAUGUGAAUGUGUAGGCCCUCUAGUGGUUAAACAGUUAAAAGAACAUGCAAA